This is a long non-coding RNA of Strongylocentrotus purpuratus (purple sea urchin), 614 nucleotides long. RefSeq lists it as uncharacterized. Lineage: Eukaryota; Metazoa; Echinodermata; Echinoidea; Camarodonta; Strongylocentrotidae. The transcript is spliced from 3 exons. The record is from RefSeq and is a predicted model, not a curated record.
UCACACAUGGAUGCCGCUUUACAGCUGAGCGAUGUUGACAUCCUACCUGUCUGAUGAUGACCUUGUCCUUGCAUGCCAGAUAUUAUAUCGACCUUUCAUGACAGACGUGCAGGACCCAGGAUCUUGUGAAAUCAUCGAGGGAUAGCCACUUGACCUGAGCAGUGAGUCACACGCAAGAUAGCGUAAGCAGUGAUUUCAUAGUGUAAUAACCGUCAUGAGAAUAGGAUUGUCACCGGGAUUGUCUAAGACUGCACUAGGGGACGGUUCUGGUGACUUAUUGACUCUCAUUUAAAGGUAAGUGUUAAAUGUUGUAAAGAUGAAGUUGAGUUUGACUGCAGUUACAUGGUGAAAGAAACUGUCCGGAAGCAAGGGGGAAAUAUUGAUUUAUAUGUCAUACAUAUUAGAAUUGAUGUAUACCCGGUACUGUGAAAUGAUCAGAAUCAUAUGCACCGCACACCGUAAUGGGUAUGUGGGACUACACACAACCGUGGUGUGAAAGUUCAAUCCAAACUUUUUCGUUAUUUUCAUCAAUUUUGUCGAAUGAUUAUAAAGGUUUGUGAAAAGAAAUAAUUUUCUUAGGACACUUCUUUGAUUUUCAUCCUAACUGAUAUACA